RNAcentral lists this ribosomal RNA (800 nucleotides) under uncultured Bacteroidota bacterium. RNAcentral describes it as "bacterial SSU rRNA". It matches the Rfam family "Bacterial small subunit ribosomal RNA", at positions 1 to 799 of the family's 1533-position model. Lineage: Bacteria; Pseudomonadati; Bacteroidota. The record is from RNAcentral.
AGGAGAGUUUGAUCCUGGCUCAGGAUGAACGCUAGCGACAGGCUUAACACAUGCAAGUCGAGGGGCAGCGCGGAGGUAGCAAUACUUCUGGCGGCGACCGGCGCACUGGUGAGUAACACGUAUGCGACCUGCCCCGGACAGGGGGAUAAACCCGGGAAACUGGGCCUAAUACCCCAUAUGUAUCGAGGACGCAUGUCCUUGAUAUGAAAGAUCCGUCGGUCCGGGAUGGGCAUGCGGCGCAUUAGCUGGUUGGCGGGGCAACGGCCCACCAAGGCGACGAUGCGUAGGGGUUCUGAGAGGAAGGUCCCCCACACUGGUACUGAGACACGGACCAGACUCCUACGGGAGGCAGCAGUGAGGAAUAUUGGUCAAUGGACGGUAGUCUGAACCAGCCAAGUCGCGUGCGGGACGAAGGCCCUCCGGGUCGUAAACCGCUUUAGCCGGGGAGUAACGUGCAGGACGUGUCCUGCAGUGAGAGUACCCGGAGAAUAAGCAUCGGCUAACUCCGUGCCAGCAGCCGCGGUAAUACGGAGGAUGCGAGCGUUAUCCGGAUUUAUUGGGUUUAAAGGGUGCGCAGGCGGCAGGUCAAGUCAGCGGUCAAACCCCUCGCUCAACGCCGUACCGCCGUUGAAACUGGCCGGCUCGAGUGCGUGGGAGGAUGGCGGAAUGCGCGGUGUAGCGGUGAAAUGCAUAGAUAUCGCGCAGAACCCCGAUUGCGAAGGCAGCUGUCCAUCACGCCACUGACGCUCAUGCACGAAAGCGUGGGUAUCGAACAGGAUUAGAUACCCUGGUAGUCCCCU